GCUCCAUAAUCCCCUCGCGUAUAAAUGGCAGUGAGUUUGAGUCUUGUUUCCUCAUUCAAAGGACUCUCCUUAUCUUCCAAUUCUCUCCUUGGGGUUUCUCUUCCCAUUGCCCCUAAGUUCUCCGUUUCCUUCCCGUUGAAAUCUCCAUUGACAAUUGAGUCUGCACACAAGAAAGGAGCUGGUAGCACUAAGAAUGGUCGAGAUUCUCCUGGACAGAGGCUUGGUGUCAAGAUUUAUGGUGACCAAGUCGCCAAGCCCGGUUCUAUAAUCGUUCGCCAGCGCGGUACAAAGUUCCACCCAGGAAAGAAUGUUGGACUUGGCAAAGAUCACACAAUAUUUUCUUUGAUUGAUGGACUAGUCAAAUUUGAAAAGUUUGGACCUGACAGGAAAAAGAUAAGUGUUUAUCCACGCGAGGUGCAACCUGAAAACCCCAACAGCUAUAGAAACCGAAAGAGAGAGUCCUUCAGAUUACAACGUGAACGUAGAAAGGCACGAAGAGAAGGUGUCAUCCCUGAGCCUCAGUUGAUAGUUGCUUCUGCUGCUGAAUCCUCUGAAGAUAAUCCCAUCACCACUUGCUGAUAAUGGUCUUUCGAUUUUUCAAACAUUCUGUUGUCGUUUUGGUUAUUGCUAGUAGCUACUUGGGAACACAUUUGCAGGCACAUUUUCUAAACUGUGUUUCUGCCAUUGUUGUCUUUUUUUGUUUGUAAAUUGUGUUACUGAAAGCAUGAGUCUUUGUCACAGUUUGUAUGAGUACAGAAUGAAAUGUAUGAUUCAGAAGAUGCAGCUUUGCACAAUAG
This 797-nucleotide unclassified non-coding RNA is filed under the name Hevea brasiliensis (rubber tree). The record is from RNAcentral. Lineage: Eukaryota; Viridiplantae; Streptophyta; Magnoliopsida; Malpighiales; Euphorbiaceae.